CAGACGAUGCGUCAUGCAUAUCAAUAAGCGGAGGAAAAGAAAAUAACAAUGAUUUCCCUAGUAACGGCGAGUGAACAGGAAAGAGCUCAAAGUUGGAACCUGCUUGACUUAGUUAAGCCGGAUUGUAAACUGUAGAAACGUUUUCUAGGCAAGCCGAGUUAAAAAGUCCUUUGGAACAGGGCAUCAUAGAGGGUGAGAAUCCCGUCUUUGACUCGAGUAUUUUGUCUUUUUAUGAUACGUUUUCCAAGAGUCAGGUUGUUUGGGAAUGCAGCCUAAAUUGGGCGGUAAAUCUCACCUAAAGCUAAAUAUUUGCGAGAGACCAAUAGCGAACAAGUACCGUGAGGGAAAGAUGAAAAGAACUUUGAAAAGAGAGUUAAACAGUACGUGAAAUUGUCAAAAGGGAAGCGUUUGACACCAGUGUUGUUUUCUCGAAAAUCAAUUAAAAAGAGUUAGAUUUUGUUGUGUAUUGACCUUAACAGCUUGCAUUUCAAUUUUCUUGCUUUUUUUAAUGCACUUUUCGUUUAACAAGUCAACAUCAGUUUCUUUUGUUGUAAAAAGGUCAUUGGAAGGUGGCUUUCUUUUCGGAGAAGGUGUUUAUAGCCUUUGACUCCUGCAAUCGGAGAGACUGAGGUCUGCAGCGUAGAUCCUUCGGGGUUAGAUACAUUUGUGCUAAGUUAUAGCUUUUUAUAGACAACUUGUUGACUAUGAUUAGUCUUGUAGCUUACUCGCUUAUGCUAUUUUACCUACGCUUAGGAUGUUGAGUCGUAGAGCACGCAG
RNAcentral lists this ribosomal RNA (777 nucleotides) under uncultured Neocallimastigales. RNAcentral describes it as "partial large subunit ribosomal RNA". It matches the Rfam family "Eukaryotic large subunit ribosomal RNA", at positions 18 to 634 of the family's 3401-position model. The record is from RNAcentral. Lineage: Eukaryota; Fungi; Neocallimastigomycota; Neocallimastigomycetes; Neocallimastigales.